UACAGAGGGUGCGAGCGUUGUUCGGAAUUAUUGGGCGUAAAGGGCGCGUAGGCGGUGCGGUAAGUCACCUGUGAAAUCUCCUGGCUCAACUGGGAGCUUGCAGGCGAAACUGCCGUGCUGGAGUGUGGGAGAGGUGCGUGGAAUUCCCGGUGUAGCGGUGAAAUGCGUAGAUGUCGGGAGGAACACCUGUGGCGAAAGCGGCGCACUGGACCACAACUGACGCUGAGGCGCGAAAGCUAGGGGAGCAAACAGG
This 253-nucleotide ribosomal RNA is filed under the name uncultured bacterium. Its description in RNAcentral is "partial 16S ribosomal RNA". It matches the Rfam family "Bacterial small subunit ribosomal RNA", at positions 524 to 776 of the family's 1533-position model. The record is from RNAcentral.